Molecule: small RNA, 30 nt
Filed under: Bombyx mori (domestic silkworm)
Lineage: Eukaryota; Metazoa; Arthropoda; Insecta; Lepidoptera; Bombycidae
Description: ovarian small RNA-28627
Source: RNAcentral
UCGCAUCGCCACGCGUAAUCCGCAGCGAGC